AUUUAUGAAGUUUUAAACAUUUCAUUUUCAUUGAAAAAAUAGGAGUCUUUCUUCUCUUAAAUA
RNAcentral lists this transfer RNA (63 nucleotides) under Philagra albinotata. RNAcentral's name for it is "tRNA-Glu". The record is from RNAcentral. Lineage: Eukaryota; Metazoa; Arthropoda; Insecta; Hemiptera; Aphrophoridae.